RNAcentral lists this ribosomal RNA (756 nucleotides) under Acinetobacter soli. Its description in RNAcentral is "bacterial SSU rRNA". It matches the Rfam family "Bacterial small subunit ribosomal RNA", at positions 86 to 835 of the family's 1533-position model. Lineage: Bacteria; Pseudomonadati; Pseudomonadota; Gammaproteobacteria; Moraxellales; Moraxellaceae. The record is from RNAcentral.
UAUCACUUAGCGGCGGACGGGUGAGUAAUGCUUAGGAAUCUGCCUAUUAGUGGGGGACAACAUCUCGAAAGGGAUGCUAAUACCGCAUACGUCCUACGGGAGAAAGCAGGGGAUCACUUGUGACCUUGCGCUAAUAGAUGAGCCUAAGUCGGAUUAGCUAGUUGGUGGGGUAAAGGCCUACCAAGGCGACGAUCUGUAGCGGGUCUGAGAGGAUGAUCCGCCACACUGGGACUGAGACACGGCCCAGACUCCUACGGGAGGCAGCAGUGGGGAAUAUUGGACAAUGGGGGGAACCCUGAUCCAGCCAUGCCGCGUGUGUGAAGAAGGCCUUAUGGUUGUAAAGCACUUUAAGCGAGGAGGAGGCUCUUUUGGUUAAUACCCAAGAUGAGUGGACGUUACUCGCAGAAUAAGCACCGGCUAACUCUGUGCCAGCAGCCGCGGUAAUACAGAGGGUGCAAGCGUUAAUCGGAUUUACUGGGCGUAAAGCGCGCGUAGGCGGCCAAUUAAGUCAAAUGUGAAAUCCCCGAGCUUAACUUGGGAAUUGCAUUCGAUACUGGUUGGCUAGAGUGUGGGAGAGGAUGGUAGAAUUCCAGGUGUAGCGGUGAAAUGCGUAGAGAUCUGGAGGAAUACCGAUGGCGAAGGCAGCCAUCUGGCCUAACACUGACGCUGAGGUGCGAAAGCAUGGGGAGCAAACAGGAUUAGAUACCCUGGUAGUCCAUGCCGUAAACGAUGUCUACUAGCCGUUGGGGCCUUUGA